UCUUUUCUUUUGAUAAGAGAGUUUUUAAAACCAGUGUUAUUUAUGUAAGUUUAAGAGAAGUUUAUGUAUUAAAUUAUUGAUAUUAAAUAGUUUUAUUAGGCUUAGACUUAAUUUUAGGUCAUUUUGGGGGUUUAGCUCAGUUGGCUAGAGCAUCGGCUUUGCAAGCCGAGGGUCAAGGGUUCGAGUCCCUUAACCUCCAUUGGGCUUAUGCCCUAAAUUGUAAUUAAGUAUGUUUUUAAGUAACUUUGUUAAAGUAAUUGUUGGAAUGUGAAACACAAGAAGUUAAAAUUUCUGGGUUAAGUUGAGACCUGUUGAUAUUAAGAAAAAUGUCUAGAAGCAAAAGCAAGCUUUCGACAAAACCCGAAGUUGUUUCGCUAAAGUGCAAGGAUUAAACAGGAUUGUAUUUUUCAGCAGCCUAUUUUAUAAACGAUCUGCAUUUAGUAAAUAGUUUUUAGUUAGGAAAUAAUGUAGAUUACUAAGUGUAAUGUCUGAGAGAAGGACAAGUAUUGUAGCGAGCUUAAAUCCUUAUUAUCGUUGCCAGUAUUUAGUGGUAGGGAUUCGGAUAAGAUUGCCAGUUAUAAGUUGGAGGAAGGCAAAGAUUGCAUUAAAUCGUUAUCGCUCUUAUGUUUUAGGUUACAAGUUUGCAACAAUAACUCAAAAAAGCCAAGCAAAAUACCAUAAAGCAGAUUUCAGUUUGGAUUUGCCCGACACUCAAUGGCAUGAAGUUGUAAUUGUUAGUAAUCG
RNAcentral lists this unclassified non-coding RNA (744 nucleotides) under Borreliella burgdorferi (Lyme disease spirochete). RNAcentral describes it as "partial contains 16S ribosomal RNA and 16S-23S ribosomal RNA intergenic spacer". The stretch from base 126 to 199 matches the Rfam family "tRNA". The record is from RNAcentral. Lineage: Bacteria; Pseudomonadati; Spirochaetota; Spirochaetia; Spirochaetales; Borreliaceae.